CAAAUGUGGAGUGAUUCAGAAGAAAAACGUUUGCAACACAUCCAUUCCAGAGUGCUCUGACAGAUAAAACUGACACGCUUGAUGAGGACACAGUCAAAGCUUUAAAAGCCCGUGUGAUAAAGCAGUCUUCAAUUACUACGGUGUCUGAAUUGCAAGAAGAAGUGACCCUCCACUUAAACAUGUGACAUCUAAACUGUUUGGUGUUUUAGUUCAGCUUUUUAAAGGUUUAUCUUAAGUUGGUUAAAGGCGGAGUGCACUACUUUUGAAAGCCAAUGUUAACAUUUGAAAUUACCUUAACAAACAUGCCUCUAUAGAAUCUGGACCUUCUUUUGAUAGAGCCAUCACACACAUACGCAACCCCGGCAAGGAUGUCGGUUAGUAGACACGCCCCUUACUGCUGGAUGGCUACA
Molecule: long non-coding RNA, 410 nt
Organism: Paramisgurnus dabryanus
Lineage: Eukaryota; Metazoa; Chordata; Actinopteri; Cypriniformes; Cobitidae
Source: RefSeq, a predicted model, not a curated record